Molecule: ribosomal RNA, 119 nt
Filed under: Anolis carolinensis (green anole)
Lineage: Eukaryota; Metazoa; Chordata; Lepidosauria; Squamata; Anolidae
Source: RNAcentral
UUUUACAUCCUGGGUAGACUUAAAUCACCAGAUUCCUUCUGAUUUUGGAAGCUAAGCAGGGUCAGGUCUACUUAGUACUUGGAUGGGAAACCAUUGAUGAAUACCAGAUCAUGUAGACU